RNAcentral lists this transfer RNA (76 nucleotides) under Thioclava indica. Its description in RNAcentral is "tRNA-Thr". It matches the Rfam family "tRNA". From Rfam's summary of the family: Transfer RNA (tRNA) molecules are approximately 80 nucleotides in length. RNAcentral also lists the same sequence under 3 other names. Lineage: Bacteria; Pseudomonadati; Pseudomonadota; Alphaproteobacteria; Rhodobacterales; Paracoccaceae. The record is from RNAcentral.
GCCGCACUAGCUCAGUUGGUAGAGCACAUCAUUCGUAAUGAUGGGGUCGGGGGUUCGAAUCCCUCGUGCGGCACCA